GUAAAUUUGGUCAGGCUACCAAUGGACUUGCUUAUGAAGCGGGAAAAAAGAAAAUUUUCUUGGCUUGGCUGAUGAGGGAAAUAAUUUUUGGGAGAAAGCCCAACAAAUAAUGAAAAUCUAAGAGCCUCUACUCAAAGUCUUGACAUUGGUGGAUGUUGAUGAAACGUCAACAAUAGUUUUAUAUUUGACGCAAUGAAAAGCAAAAUUGGUUAAUUAGAAAAAUUCUAGAAGUUAUAUAGAGUCUUGGAAAAUAAUUGAUGAAAGGUGAGUUUUCAAUUAUAUCAUAAUUUGCAUGUAGCUGGUAAGUUGGUGUCUUAACGAGUUACUAUAUAUAUUUAUUGCUUAAAAAAUAUUAAAUAAC
This 361-nucleotide unclassified non-coding RNA is filed under the name Hevea brasiliensis (rubber tree). Lineage: Eukaryota; Viridiplantae; Streptophyta; Magnoliopsida; Malpighiales; Euphorbiaceae. The record is from RNAcentral.